RNAcentral lists this ribosomal RNA (253 nucleotides) under uncultured bacterium. RNAcentral's name for it is "partial 16S ribosomal RNA". It matches the Rfam family "Bacterial small subunit ribosomal RNA", at positions 524 to 776 of the family's 1533-position model. The record is from RNAcentral.
UACGUAGGGGGCAAGCGUUGUCCGGAUUUAUUGGGCGUAAAGAGUGUGUAGGCGGUUUGGUAGGUCCGCUGUGAAAACUCGAGGCUCAACCUCGAGACGCCGGUGGAAACCAUCAGACUAGAGUCCGGAAGAGGAGAGUGGAAUUCCUGGUGUAGCGGUGAAAUGCGCAGAUAUCAGGAAGAACACCCGUGGCUAAGGCGGCUCUCUAGUACGGUACUGACGCUGAGACGCGAAAGCGUGGGGAGCGAACAGG